GUUUUAUCUGGAAAUUUUCUGUUGACAGGCCAAAGGGGCGGAGAACCAAAUUCCCCAGAUCCUUCAGUUUGCCUACAAUGAAAAGGGGAGAGAACACAUCAAGUGUUAAGCAGAAGGAAAACUCCAUUGAAUUAUGCCCAACUACACAGUCCAGCUCUACUGAUUUAUCUAUUAAUUUAAGCUCCAGUCACCAUGGAUAGAUCUAUCACUCUGAUACCAUUGCCACAAUGAAAUGAGUUGUUCACCUCAAGAAAAAGCCCAUGGACAAGGCUGCCUGGCUAUUCCUUUUCAAUACAGGACACACUGGUGAACGCAGGCAAAUACAGUUCAUUUUCUAUAGUGGUGGGGAAGAGAGGUGGUAUACCCCAGAAAAAAAAUCACAACAGAAAAACGAGUGUUAAGGAAUAAAACGCAGCUAUACAUGGAUGGCUAAGCUUGAAACCAGCCAGGCCCAGCACCACCACCACUGAGCCAGAUCUAAUUAGCCCAGUCAGACCUCAUCUGAAUCCUGCUGACCCAGAGGGCCUUAUUAAGUUGGGUGCAGAUCUGGACCUAAGAUGCCUGCAUGAAAACAUGUGAAUAUCCCCAGGCUCUAAAUUCAGUUUGCACUGUGGCUGUGCAAUUUGUUGUAUCUUGCAUGAGUCUGGCAUACAUAGCAUGUCUCUCUCACAUUUGGACAUAAGGCUUUGGCAGGAAAUGAAGAUACAUAUCCUUGAUCUGAAAUACAUACUCCAUGUUUUGUUUGUUUCAAUACUUGUAUUAGAAAAACUCAGCAUUUCUCACUCCAGAAAUGUAUUUGCAGGGUUAGUUAUCUACAGGAAGAUGUCUGCAAGUACCAUAGACACCAGAUAAAUAGCUGUCCUUAUCUCAAAGUGCAGCUUCUUUUGGCAAAUAAGUUUAUCUUGCCUGCCAAUCCCUUAAAAACUGUGCUGAAGCUAAAAUUCACACAACACUGUUACCCACCUGCUAAAAACAAAACCCAAAGAUUGAUCCUGUAUAAUUAAACACUUUCUGGGAAAGCAUCAGUAGGGAUUAUUUAUCCACAAAACACUACAAUUUCAAACUGUUUAAUUUAGCAUUGAAGAUGUCAAAAGUAACUGAAGUGAGACCAGGAUUUAAAUCAAAAUACUAGCACUGUACUCCUGCAGUAUAAACAGUACUGAAAUUUUAAAGAAGUUACCAAAUCAGGAAUAAAAGCAAAGAACUACUCUGCAUUUAGUAUUUUUAAACUGCCGUUUAGCAAGAUCAUGACAUUCCCUAAAGCAGCAUGUGAAAUAUUUUCUAUAUAUUCUCUACAGGAAGGAGAGAGAGUUGCUCUAACACUGAAAGAAGCUAAUUUGCAGAUUCUCUUGAUGCACCAUUUCCAUUACCAGUGAGGGGGAAAAAACACUGCAGAGAAACGCUGCAGAGAGCAAUGCACUUUACCUUACAAUAAAGCAAAGCUCCUUAGUCUCCUA
Long non-coding RNA from Pezoporus occidentalis (night parrot), 1457 nucleotides. RefSeq lists it as uncharacterized. The transcript has 2 exons. NCBI's taxonomy places the organism in Eukaryota, Metazoa, Chordata, Aves, Psittaciformes, Psittacidae. The record is from RefSeq and is a predicted model, not a curated record.